AUUGAACGCUGGCGGCAGGCCUAACACAUGCAAGUCGAGCGGAUGAAGGGAGCUUGCUCCUGGAUUCAGCGGCGGACGGGUGAGUAAUGCCUAGGAAUCUGCCUGGUAGUGGGGGAUAACGUCCGGAAACGGGCGCUAAUACCGCAUACGGCCUGAGGGAGAAAGUGGGGGAUCUUCGGACCUCACGCUAUCAGAUGAGCCUAGGUCGGAUUAGCUAGUUGGUGGGGUAAAGGCCUACCAAGGCGACGAUCCGUAACUGGUCUGAGAGGAUGAUCAGUCACACUGGAACUGAGACACGGUCCAGACUCCUACGGGAGGCAGCGGUGGGGAAUAUUGGACAAUGGGCGAAAGCCUGAUCCAGCCAUGCCGCGUGUGUGAAGAAGGUCUUCGGAUUGUAAAGCACUUUAAGUUGGGAGGAAGGGCAGUAAGUUAAUACCUUGCUGUUUUGACGUUACCAACAGAAUAAGCACCGGCUAACUUCGUG
RNAcentral lists this ribosomal RNA (484 nucleotides) under uncultured bacterium. Its description in RNAcentral is "partial 16S ribosomal RNA". It matches the Rfam family "Bacterial small subunit ribosomal RNA", at positions 30 to 507 of the family's 1533-position model. The record is from RNAcentral.